UACGGGGGGAGCAAGCGUUGUUCGGAUUUACUGGGCGUAAAGGGCGCAUAGGCGGCCACCGCAAGUCGACUGUGAAAUCUCCGGGCUUAACCCGGAAAGGUCAGCCGAUACUGCGGGGCUAGAGUGCAGAAGGGGCAACUGGAAUUCUCGGUGUAGCGGUGAAAUGCGUAGAUAUCGAGAGGAACACCUGCGGCGAAGGCGGGUUGCUGGGCUGACACUGACGCUGAGGCGCGAAAGCUAGGGGAGCGAACGGG
RNAcentral lists this ribosomal RNA (254 nucleotides) under uncultured bacterium. Its description in RNAcentral is "partial 16S ribosomal RNA". It matches the Rfam family "Bacterial small subunit ribosomal RNA", at positions 524 to 776 of the family's 1533-position model. The record is from RNAcentral.